CGCCAGACUCCUACGGGAGGCAGCAGUGGGGAAUAUUGCACAAUGGGGGAAACCCUGAUGCAGCGACGCCGCGUGAGCGAUGAAGUAUUUCGGUAUGUAAAGCUCUAUCAGCAGGGAAGAAGAUGACGGUACCUGACUAAGAAGCCUCGGCUAACUACGUGCCAGCAGCCGCGGUAAUACGUAGGGGGCAAGCGUUAUCCGGAUUUACUGGGUGUAAAGGGAGCGUAGACGGCGAUGCAAGCCAGAUGUGAAAGCCCGGGGCUCAACCCCGGGACUGCAUUUGGAACUGUGUGGCUAGAGUACUGGAGGGGCAGGCGGAAUUCCUAGUGUAGCGGUGAAAUGCGUAGAUAUUAGGAGGAACACCAGUGGCGAAGGCGGCCUGCUGGACAGUAACUGACGUUGAGGCCCGAAAGCGUGGGGAGCAAACAGGAUUAGAUACCCCCGUAUG
RNAcentral lists this ribosomal RNA (448 nucleotides) under uncultured bacterium. RNAcentral describes it as "bacterial SSU rRNA". It matches the Rfam family "Bacterial small subunit ribosomal RNA", at positions 329 to 793 of the family's 1533-position model. The record is from RNAcentral.